UGGGGAUGUAGCUCAAUUGGUAGAGCAAUGGGAUACGCUUUCUUAUUUAUCAGGGUUCGACUCCUUGCGUCUCCAUUA
This 78-nucleotide transfer RNA is filed under the name Rosa chinensis. RNAcentral describes it as "tRNA RchiOBHm_Chr1g0377421". It matches the Rfam family "tRNA". Rfam says of the family: Transfer RNA (tRNA) molecules are approximately 80 nucleotides in length. Their secondary structure includes four short double-helical elements and three loops (D, anti-codon, and T loops). RNAcentral also lists the same sequence under 1 other name. Lineage: Eukaryota; Viridiplantae; Streptophyta; Magnoliopsida; Rosales; Rosaceae. The record is from RNAcentral.